This 253-nucleotide ribosomal RNA is filed under the name uncultured bacterium. Its description in RNAcentral is "partial 16S ribosomal RNA". It matches the Rfam family "Bacterial small subunit ribosomal RNA", at positions 524 to 776 of the family's 1533-position model. The record is from RNAcentral.
UACAGAGGUCCCAAGCGUUGUUCGGAUUCACUGGGCGUAAAGGGUGCGUAGGCGGUCGGGUAAGUCUGACGUGAAAUCUCCAAGCUCAACUUGGAAACUGCGUUGGAUACUAUCCGGCUCGAGGAAUGGAGGGGAGACUGGAAUACUUGGUGUAGCAGUGAAAUGCGUAGAUAUCAAGUGGAACACCAGUGGCGAAGGCGAGUCUCUGGACAUUUCCUGACGCUGAGGCACGAAAGCCAGGGGAGCAAACGGG